RNAcentral lists this transfer RNA (145 nucleotides) under Haloferula luteola. RNAcentral's name for it is "tRNA-Cys". It matches the Rfam family "transfer-messenger RNA", at positions 230 to 374 of the family's 374-position model. From Rfam's summary of the family: Bacterial tmRNA, also known as 10Sa RNA or SsrA, is named for its dual tRNA and mRNA-like properties. The record is from RNAcentral. Lineage: Bacteria; Pseudomonadati; Verrucomicrobiota; Verrucomicrobiia; Verrucomicrobiales; Verrucomicrobiaceae.
GGGGGCGAGAUUCAACAGGUCGCUAGGAAAAGGAACGCUGCAGACGGGCCGCUCUUCUCCGAAAAUACCUGAUCGUUUGCUAAACGUGUAGAUGCCUGCGCUGAAGGCGUUUCGGACAGGGGUUCGACUCCCCUCGCCUCCACCA